GACGAACGCUGGCGGCGUGCUUAACACAUGCAAGUCGAACGGAAAGGCCCUGCUUUUGUGGGGUGCUCGAGUGGCGAACGGGUGAGUAACACGUGAGUAACCUGCCCUUGACUUUGGGAUAACUUCAGGAAACUGGGCUAAUACCGGAUAGGAGCUCCUGCUGCAUGGUGGGGGUUGGAAAGUUUCGGCGGUUGGGGAUGGACUCGCGGCUUAUCAGCUUGUUGGUGGGGUAGUGGCUUACCAAGGCUUUGACGGGUAGCCGGCCUGAGGGGGUGACCGGCCACAUUGGGACUGCGAUAGGGCCCAGACUCCUACGGGAGGCAGCAGUGGGGAAUAUUGCACAAUGGGCGGAAGCCUGAUGCAGCAACGCCGCGUGCGGGAUGACGGCCUUCGGGUUGUAAACCGCUUUCGCCUGUGACGAAGCGUGAGUGACGGUAAUGGGUAAAGAAGCACCGGCUAACUACGUG
This 467-nucleotide ribosomal RNA is filed under the name uncultured bacterium. Its description in RNAcentral is "partial 16S ribosomal RNA". It matches the Rfam family "Bacterial small subunit ribosomal RNA", at positions 28 to 507 of the family's 1533-position model. The record is from RNAcentral.